UACGUAGGGGGCAAGCGUUAUCCGGAUUUACUGGGUGUAAAGGGCGUGUAGGCGGGAUAGCAAGUCAGAUGCGAAAUACCAAGGCUUAACUUUGGGGGUGCAUUUGAAACUGUUAUUCUUGAGUGUCGGAGAGGGAAGCGGAAUUCCUAGUGUAGCGGUGAAAUGCGUAGAUAUUAGGAGGAACACCAGUGGCGAAGGCGGCUUUCUGGACGAUAACUGACGCUGAGGCGCGAAAGCGUGGGGAGCGAACAGGAUUAGAUACCCGCGUAGUCCCUGA
RNAcentral lists this ribosomal RNA (277 nucleotides) under uncultured prokaryote. RNAcentral describes it as "partial 16S ribosomal RNA". It matches the Rfam family "Bacterial small subunit ribosomal RNA", at positions 524 to 800 of the family's 1533-position model. The record is from RNAcentral.